Molecule: long non-coding RNA, 3312 nt
Organism: Mercenaria mercenaria
Lineage: Eukaryota; Metazoa; Mollusca; Bivalvia; Venerida; Veneridae
Exons: 3
Source: RefSeq, a predicted model, not a curated record
AUGAAGUAGCGAAACAAAUAAAUAGCGAAGUUGUUUUGCCAUUCAUAAAUUUUAUCUCAAAAAGAAGCAUGUGGUUAUGCAAACAAGUGGACGUGUAAAUAAUGAAUAAAAAACCGAAACGUGAAAAUACGAAAAAAAAACUAGGUCAUGACGUGACGUCAUUUAUGUGGAUGAUACAGAAUAAAUCCUGCAAACAACACACGGAAAUGAAAAUCAUCCUAAGUACAUAAGGAAUGCCUGUCCACUGUGCCGAACCGUUAAAGCCGAUUUACGGUAACGACGCCUAGUGCGUGGUGAUGGUAGCGAAUUGGAGAAAUACGUAUGGAAUGAGUCAGCUCUGGCGGUCCGUAUGUGUAACCAAGAAGAACCAUUUAAACAAUUGGAAGAGGGCAACUCAUGGAAUAGUUUAAGUAACAUUUUAGAAGUGGCUUCAGAGGAGAUGUUGUUUGACAUAAAAUGUCGAAGGAAAAACGACGGACGGUGAUUGAUCACAACAAAGUUGUGCUCUGGUGAGCUCAUCAAUGGUAAAAUUUCAGAACAUGGAAACCCAAGAUUGUACCACUUUGUUUAUCCGACACCAAAUAUUGAGCGAGACAUAUCAUAGUAUGUAAACAGAUCUGAAUUACUUCAUUUUCACAGAUUUGUCUAAAUUCUUGCAUUUAUUACUGUAACAGAUUUAGCCGUUAAGCACGGAUUAACUCGAACCGUAGAUUUAAGUGAAAAGAUUUUCAUCGCAUACUUCGCACAUAAAGCAAUGGUAAUGAGCUAUAUUUAUGUAUUUCAGAACUGCGUUAAAUUAAUAAAUAGCAGAAUAAUGAUAAAUUACGAAUGCAUAAAAUAUUACGUAAGACGUUUAUCAAAGAAAACGAAGCCAAACAACACAGUAACAUAAUAAUGAAUUACCAGGCAAAAUUGUAAAUGGUGUUCAUCAUUUCUGUUCUCAAAGUUUAUAAUCUUCGUUGCUAAAUAAGAUCAAUAAAUGAUAUUUUGUGUGCAGCUGUGCGUGUCCAAAAACGACUCUUGCUCGUCUGAAUUUUCAAUGUUUGCGCACCAUAAACCAGUUUAAGCUCCCCAGUGGUGUUUUUGUCACUGACCGUUCCAAGGCGGUGCCCCACUGUGUUCCUUUGUUUGUUCGUUUUGUCCUCGUGUGUUGGCUUUGUGUGUGUGUGUGUGUGUGUGUGUGUGUGUGUGUGUGUGUGUUUGUGGUGUGCACGUCUGCGUGCUGUGGGUUUCGUUUUGGGGAGGCUGUGUUUUUGGUACGUGGCAUUCCCUGUUUGAUAUUUGUCUUUGUUUUUUUAUGGGAAUUAGAAAAUCAUACCUAGAAAUACAGUUUAUUCUGAGCAAAACUAUUAGUUAUACUACCUAUACUACUUUCUUUACAAUGUCUCGUCUGCCUUUUUGGGAUUUCUUAGAUUUAAAGAUUUAAUACAUAAAAAUACAUAAAAAUGAUGUGAUGAGGCCGGUUAUUUUCCUACAAAUAAUGUCAGAACCUUAAACUAAUUCUAACAUAGGAUUUUACAGAUGAUAUAUAAUCUCUAAUUAUUCAUGCAAUACAGGAAAAAAGUUCUCAAAAGAAAUUAAAGUCAAACUCGGAAAAUUAAUUGAUAUUUAAGGGCAGCUUCCGUUAGAUUUAAAUUAAAACAAAGUAUUGCAAAUUUAUCCAAAACAAUAUCAAUUAAACGAAAUAUUAGCAUCAUAUGCAUGCAUUACAUAAUAAAGCAGUUCAAGAAGCAUUUUCUAAAUAAUUGCUGUAACUGUUUAAGAAUUUCGAGAAAAUAUUGAUGUUAUCAAGUACCCCCACCCAUCUGCAGUAAGAUUGUAACCUUCCAGUACUUGCUAGAAAUUUUAAAAUACUUUUCCCCUGAUAUUUGAAAGAAACAUUUAUGCUAGAGUAUACCAGUAGUAGAACAAUACAGCAUAUGGUCCACAGUAACGGCCACAAUACGUACUAGAGACGUAAAUACUGCAAUAUCUCAAAAAAUGUGCCAUGAAAUUCUUGUGUUUCAUUUCCUUACAUACUACUUAUUCCGCACUAAAAAGUUUAUCUUGGAAUUAGUUCAACCCCAAAAGUUAAAAUGAACAGCCUAAAUGCACUCAAUGGUGAAUUUCAGGUUAAAGUUUUUAUUUUAUGUUCUCAAACAAUUUAUUAUAUAGUAAAAGACUUCAGUAAUACAAUGAACAAAUCAUCAUUCCGAUUAAGAGGUUUUAUAAGAAACUUUCUCAUGGUUCUUAAUUUCAAGCUUCCAAGAUACUGUUGAUUGAAAUUCAUUAGGAUGGGAUGCAGAUUUCAUAAUGUUAUUUUAGUAAGAAAGUUUCGAUAUGUUUAAGGAGAUUCUCCUCUUCCAUAUCAAAAACCCAAAGAAUCUUGCAUAUAUUCAUUAGAACAGUGAAAUUUUGGCAUAAUUUUCUUAUCUUCAUGAUAUCCUACUUGCAAAAUUACGUGUUGUCACCACUCUUACACAGUGGUGCAUGUCUAUCCUUUUUAUUGUCUUUUUAUUGAUUGAUUCAUUUAUUUAUGAAGAUAAAGGAUGAAUUAAUCAUGUUCGUCUGAAUAAAAUUAAUGAGAACAUAAACAUUGUUUAUAACGAUACAUGUACAAAAAAAAAGCGUUUAUUAAAGUAUAUGUACGUUUUAGGUUUCAGGUUUUAAAUUAGACAAACUAUACCAAUCCUUUGUUCUGAAAUGCUAAAGAGAAUUUAUUUUGUGCAUGUUGAAUGUAUUGAACAAGUAUAAGAUAUAAAAUGCUGCAGCAUGAUUAACUACUCCAGCUAUUUAAUUAUAUAACAUUUCAACGUUUUUAUUUAUAUGAAAAGAGUUAUAUGUGGUAUAGUAAUAACAAUAAUGAUAAUAACUUUAAUAAUAAUUACGAAUUAACACUACAAAUAUCAUUAUAAGAAUAAAAAGAAAUCAAUGUUAUUAGAACGACGUCAAAGGAUACAUAAUUGUAAUUAUUGAGACUUGUUAGAUUUUAGUUCAUGUAAGCAUAUAUAUAAAUAGCGGACAUGAUUAGCCCAAAUAUUGGAACUUUUUGUAAUAUAAUGUAUUUUACUUUUAUGUAGUUUCAUAUCAGAGAUGUUUUUUAUAUUCAUAAAAGAUAUAGAAUAUAGUACACAUGAUUUUUUAUUCUAAUUGUUAAAAUAUGUUUCAGAAGGUUUUAAAUGAAUUUUUAAGUUAAAUGGUAUGUUUUUUAUUCGAGUCUGUAUAUUGUCUCUUGUAGUUCUAGUUAGAACGGUAAUUUACAAUUGUUUUGUGUUGUAUGCAAAUUUUUAUGUUUGUAAAUGAAUGAGACAUAAAUAAACUAUGAAUUCUAAA